CCUACGGGAGGCAGCAGUGAGGAAUAUUGGUCAAUGGACGAGAGUCUGAACCAGCCAAGUAGCGUGAAGGAUGACUGCCCUAUGGGUUGUAAACUUCUUUUAUAAAGGAAUAAAACGAGGCACGUGUGCCUUUUUGCAUGUACUUUAUGAAUAAGGAUCGGCUAACUCCGUGCCAGCAGCCGCGGUAAUACGGAGGAUCCGAGCGUUAUCCGGAUUUCUUGGGUUUAAAGGUAGCGUAGAUGGGUUGUUAAGUCAGUUGUGAAAGUUUGCGGCUCAACCGUAAAAUUGCAAUUGAUACUGGCAGUCUUGAGUACAGUUGAGGUAAGCGGAAUUCGUGGUGUAGCGGUGAAAUGCUUAGAUAUCACGAAGAACCCCGAUUGCGAAGGCAGCUUACUAAACUGUGACUGACAUUGAUGCUCGAAAGUGUGGGUAUCAAACAGGAUUAGAUACCCUGGUAGUC
Molecule: ribosomal RNA, 460 nt
Filed under: uncultured bacterium
Lineage: Bacteria
Description: partial 16S ribosomal RNA
Rfam family: Bacterial small subunit ribosomal RNA
Source: RNAcentral